CCUACGGGAGACAGCAGUGGGGAAUAUUGGGCAAUGGGCGCAAGCCUGACCCAGCAACGCCGCGUGAAGGAAGAAGGCUCUCGGGUUGUAAACUUCUUUUAUCAGGGACGAAGCAAGUGACGGUACCUGAUGAAUAAGCCACGGCUAACUACGUGCCAGCCGCCGCGGUAAUACGUAGGUGGCAAGCGUUAUCCGGCUUUACUGGGUGGAUAGGGCGUGUAGGCGGGAAAGCAAGUCAGAUGUGAAAACCAUGGGCUCAACCUGUGGCCUGCAUUUGAAACUGUUUUUCUUGAGUACUGGAGAGGAAGAAGGAAUUCCUAGUGUAGCGGUGAAAUGCGUAGAUAUUAGGAGGAACACCAGUGGCGAAGGCGGUCUGCUGGACAGCAACUGACGCUGAGGCGCGAAAGCGUGGGGAGCAAACAGGAUUAGAUACCCCUGUAGUC
This 443-nucleotide ribosomal RNA is filed under the name uncultured bacterium. Its description in RNAcentral is "partial 16S ribosomal RNA". It matches the Rfam family "Bacterial small subunit ribosomal RNA", at positions 338 to 795 of the family's 1533-position model. The record is from RNAcentral.